Molecule: long non-coding RNA, 600 nt
Organism: Sarcophilus harrisii (Tasmanian devil)
Lineage: Eukaryota; Metazoa; Chordata; Mammalia; Dasyuromorphia; Dasyuridae
Exons: 3
Source: RefSeq, a predicted model, not a curated record
CUCUUUGAGUUAAAAUCCACCCUGGCAAAAGAUGGUGGCCUAAGAAGAAUGGUACGGGGGAGAGGCAAAGAUUUGAGUUCUGGGCACAGAGUCUCAUCAAAGCCUGUAUUUUCAGGGCAUAAAUGACCACUGGAGUUGACAGUUACUGAAGAGAGCAAGACCAGGACUGCAGGGAGCAAGUUCAUUGGCAGGACAGCGUGGGAUCCCUAGCUAUGGCUUUGGAGUGGAAAGGAGAGCCAAAAGUUGAGGCUCAGCACAGACUUCAGAAAAUAACGAUGGUGUAAUAGUAACAAGAGGUAAAAAACACAGUCCCCAUGAAGCCAGGAUGUGCUGUCCCACAAAUGCAGUGUGUCUGUCAAUGGAACAGGUGAGGUGGGAACCCACACGAUGAGGGCGGCAGUGCCACGGCAUUGUGAUGCCCCAGGACCCUUCCUAAUCUUCUGGGGACUUAAGCCAGCUCCCCUGGGGUGCAGCAUCUCCAGCAGACAGGUCACUCAGUAGGGCCUCACAGGCCUGUUCUCUCUGCCACUCUCAAAGCUUAUUCUCUUCCCUCAUGCCAAUGGGCACAAGCCUGGGAACUGUCUCCUCUGCUCCUGGGGA